CACAAGGACAGACCCAUGGCUCCAGCUGCAUAUGUAAUAGAGGAUGGCCUUAUUGGGCACCAAUGGGAGGAGAAGCCCUUGGUCCUGCCAAGGCUGGACCCCCAGGGUAGAGGAAUGUCAGGGUGGAGAGGCAGGAUGGGGAGGUGGUUGGGGAGGGGGAUCACUCUUAUAGAAGAGGGAGAGGGGGAUAGGAUAGGGGGCUUAUGGCUGGGAACCCAGGACAUAACAUUUGAAAUAUAAAUAAAAAAUAUCCAAUAAAAAAUA
RNAcentral lists this long non-coding RNA (264 nucleotides) under Rattus norvegicus (Norway rat). RNAcentral's name for it is "long non-coding RNA NONRATT016960". Lineage: Eukaryota; Metazoa; Chordata; Mammalia; Rodentia; Muridae. The record is from RNAcentral.